GGGGCGACGCUACCUGCAGUCGACGGUAACAGGAAACAGCUUGCUGUUUUGCUGACGAGUGGCGGACGGGUGAGUAAUGUCUGGGAAACUGCCUGAUGGAGGGGGAUAACUACUGGAAACGGUAGCUAAUACCGCAUAACGUCGCAAGACCAAAGAGGGGGACCUUCGGGCCUCUUGCCAUCGGAUGUGCCCAGAUGGGAUUAGCUAGUAGGUGGGGUAACGGCUCACCUAGGCGACGAUCCCUAGCUGGUCUGAGAGGAUGACCAGCCACACUGGAACUGAGACACGGUCCAGACUCCUACGGGAGGCAGCAGUGGGGAAUAUUGCACAAUGGGCGCAAGCCUGAUGCAGCCAUGCCGCGUGUAUGAAGAAGGCCUUCGGGUUGUAAAGUACUUUCAGCGGGGAGGAAGGGAGUAAAGUUAAUACCUUUGCUCAUUGACGUUACCCGCAGAAGAAGCACCGGCUAACUCCGUGCCAGCAGCCGCGGUAAUACGGAGGGUGCAAGCGUUAAUCGGAAUUACUGGGCGUAAAGCGCACGCAGGCGGUUUGUUAAGUCAGAUGUGAAAUCCCCGGGCUCAACCUGGGAACUGCAUCUGAUAC
Molecule: ribosomal RNA, 600 nt
Filed under: Escherichia coli
Lineage: Bacteria; Pseudomonadati; Pseudomonadota; Gammaproteobacteria; Enterobacterales; Enterobacteriaceae
Description: bacterial SSU rRNA
Rfam family: Bacterial small subunit ribosomal RNA
Source: RNAcentral